AGGGAUAUAACUCAGUGGUAGAGUUUCAUCUUGACGUGGUGAUGGUCAUCGGUUCGAGCCCGAUUAUCCCUA
RNAcentral lists this transfer RNA (72 nucleotides) under Parasitaxus usta. RNAcentral's name for it is "tRNA-Val". It matches the Rfam family "tRNA". From Rfam's summary of the family: Transfer RNA (tRNA) molecules are approximately 80 nucleotides in length. Their secondary structure includes four short double-helical elements and three loops (D, anti-codon, and T loops). Lineage: Eukaryota; Viridiplantae; Streptophyta; Pinopsida; Araucariales; Podocarpaceae. The record is from RNAcentral.